GCACGGCUCAGUAAGGUGUUCAGGCGUUUGGUCGAUGCCCGGGCUCGCAGGCUGGCGGCGUGCAGCUCGUUGAUCGUGCG
RNAcentral lists this transfer RNA (80 nucleotides) under Pseudomonas fluorescens. RNAcentral describes it as "tRNA-Thr". The record is from RNAcentral. Lineage: Bacteria; Pseudomonadati; Pseudomonadota; Gammaproteobacteria; Pseudomonadales; Pseudomonadaceae.